GUACUUGCUUUGGCAGCACAUAUACCAAAAUUGGAACUAUACAGAGAAGAUUAGCAUGGCCCCUGCCCAAGGAUGACACACAAAUUUGUGAGGCAAAUUUGAGAGAUUGUU
Molecule: small nuclear RNA, 111 nt
Organism: Chlorocebus sabaeus (green monkey)
Lineage: Eukaryota; Metazoa; Chordata; Mammalia; Primates; Cercopithecidae
Source: Ensembl